AUUGAACGCUGGCGGCAGGCCUAACACAUGCAAGUCGAGCGGAUGAAGGGAGCUUGCUCCUGGAUUCAGCGGCGAACGGGUGAGUAAUGCCUAGGAAUCUGCCUGGUAGUGGGGGAUAACGUCCGGAAACGGGCGCUAAUACCGCAUACGUCCUGAGGGAGAAAGUGGGGGAUCUUCGGACCUCACGCUAUCAGAUGAGCCUAGGUCGGAUUAGCUAGUUGGUGGGGUAAAGGCCUACCAAGGCGACGGUCCGUAACUGGUCUGAGAGGAUGAUCAGUCACACUGGAACUGAGACACGGUCCAGACUCCUACGGGAGGCAGCAGUGGGGAAUAUUGGACAAUGGGCGAAAGCCUGAUCCAGCCAUGCCGCGUGUGUGAAGAAGGUCUUCGGAUUGUAAAGCACUUUAAGUUGGGAGGAAGGGCAGUAAGUUAAUACCUUGCUGUUUUGACGUUACCAACAGAAUAAGCACCGGCUAACUUCGUG
This 484-nucleotide ribosomal RNA is filed under the name uncultured bacterium. RNAcentral describes it as "partial 16S ribosomal RNA". It matches the Rfam family "Bacterial small subunit ribosomal RNA", at positions 30 to 507 of the family's 1533-position model. The record is from RNAcentral.